UCAAGCGAACAAGUGCAUGUGGUGGAUGCCUUGGCGAUCACAGGCGAUGAAGGACGCGGUAGCCUGCGAAAAGCUUCGGGGAGCUGGCAAACGAGCUUUGAUCCGGAGAUGUCCGAAUGGGGAAACCCGGCCCGUAUGGGUCAUCCCACACUGAAUCCAUAGGUGUGGGAAGCGAACGCGGCGAACUGAAACAUCUAAGUAGCUGCAGGAACAGAAAUCAACCGAGAUUCCCAAAGUAGUGGCGAACGAAAUGGGAAGAGCCUUGUACUCUUUAGCAGUGGUGUUAGCAGAACGGGAUGGAAAGCCCGGCCAUAGCAGGUGAUAGCCCUGUAUGCGAAAACACGAUUGUGGAACUAGGUGUACGACAAGUAGGGCGGGACACGUGAAAUCCUGUCUGAAGAUGGGGGGACCAUCCUCCAAGGCUAAAUACUCGUGAUCGACCGAUAGUGAACCAGUACCGUGAGGGAAAGGCGAAAAGAACCCCGGGAGGGGAGUGAAAUAGAUCCUGAAACCGCAUGCAUACAAACAGUCGGAGCCCUUUCGGGGGUGACGGCGUACCUUUUGUAUAAUGGGUCAGCGACUUACAUUCAGUGGCAAGCUUAACCGAUUAGGGAAGGCGUAGCGAAAGCGAGUCCGAACAGGGCGUUGAGUCGCUGGGUGUAGACCCGAAACCAGAUGAUCUAUCCAUGGCCAGGUUGAAGGUGCGGUAACACGUACUGGAGGACCGAACCCACUAACGUUGAAAAGUUAGGGGAUGAGCUGUGGAUAGGGGUGAAAGGCUAAACAAAUCUGGAAAUAGCUGGUUCUCUCCGAAAACUAUUUAGGUAGUGCCUCGUGUCUCACCUUCGGGGGUAGAGCACUGUCAUGGUUGGGGGGUCUAUUGCUGAUUACCCCGCCAUAGCAAACUCCGAAUACCGAAGAGUGCAAUCACGGGAGACAGACAUCGGGUGCUAACGUCCGGUGUCAAGAGGGAAACAACCCAGACCGCCAGCUAAGGUCCCCAAGAUUGGCUAAGUGGGAAACGAAGUGGGAAGGCUAAAACAGUCAGGAGGUUGGCUUAGAAGCAGCCACCCUUUAAAGAAAGCGUAAUAGCUCACUGAUCGAGUCGUCCUGCGCGGAAGAUGUAACGGGGCUAAGCCAGUCACCGAAGCUGCGGACGCACGCAAGUGCGUGGUAGGAGAGCGUUCUGUAAGCCUGUGAAGGUGUCUUGUAAAGGAUGCUGGAGGUAUCAGAAGUGCGAAUGCUGACAUGAGUAGCGAUAAAGGGGGUGAAAGGCCCCCUCGCCGUAAGCCCAAGGUUUCCUACGCAACGUUCAUCGGCGUAGGGUGAGUCGGCCCCUAAGGCGAGGCAGAGAUGCGUAGCUGAUGGGAAGCAGGUUAAUAUUCCUGCACCGUCGUAUGAUGCGAUGGGGGGACGGAUCGCGGAAGGUUGUCCGGGUGUUGGAAGUCCCGGUCCCUGCAUUGGAGAAGGCGCUCAGGCAAAUCCGGGCGCGGGAUUCAAGGAUGUGGGGCGAGCGGCCUAGUGCUGCGAAGCAAUUGGAAGUGGUUCCAAGAAAAGCCUCUAAGCUUCAGUCAUACGAGACCGUACCGCAAACCGACACAGGUGGGCGAGAUGAGUAUUCUAAGGCGCUUGAGAGAACUCGGGAGAAGGAACUCGGCAAAUUGGUACCGUAACUUCGGGAUAAGGUACGCCCUGGUAGCUUGACUGGCCUGCGCCAGAAGGGUGAAGGGGUUGCAAUAAAAUGGUGGCUGCGACUGUUUAAUAAAAACACAGCACUCUGCAAACACGAAAGUGGACGUAUAGGGUGUGACGCCUGCCCGGUGCCGGAAGAUUAAAUGAUGGGGUGCAAGCUCUUGAUUGAAGUCCCGGUAAACGGCGGCCGUAACUAUAACGGUCCUAAGGUAGCGAAAUUCCUUGUCGGGUAAGUUCCGACCUGCACGAAUGGCGUAACGAUGGCCACACUGUCUCCUCCCGAGACUCAGCGAAGUUGAAGUGUUUGUGAUGAUGCAAUCUCCCCGCGGCUAGACGGAAAGACCCCAUGAACCUUUACUGUAGCUUUGCAUUGGACUUUGAACCGAUCUGUGUAGGAUAGGUGGGAGGCUUUGAAGCGUGGACGCCAGUUCACGUGGAGCCGUCCUUGAAAUACCACCCUGGUUUGUUUGAGGUUCUAACCUUGGCCCGUGAAUCCGGGUCGGGGACAGUGCAUGGUAGGCAGUUUGACUGGGGCGGUCUCCUCCCAAAGUGUAACGGAGGAGUUCGAAGGUACGCUUGGUACGGUCGGACAUCGUACCUAAAGUGCAAUGGCAAAAGCGUGCUUAACUGCGAGACCGACAAGUCGAGCAGGUGCGAAAGCAGGACAUAGUGAUCCGGUGGUUCUGAAUGGAAGGGCCAUCGCUCAACGGAUAAAAGGUACUCUGGGGAUAACAGGCUGAUACCGCCCAAGAGUUCAUAUCGACGGCGGUGUUUGGCACCUCGAUGUCGGCUCAUCUCAUCCUGGGGCUGUAGCCGGUCCCAAGGGUAUGGCUGUUCGCCAUUUAAAGAGGUACGUGAGCUGGGUUUAAAACGUCGUGAGACAGUUUGGUCCCUAUCUGCCGUGGGCGUUGGAAUCUUGACGGGGGCUGCUCCUAGUACGAGAGGACCGGAGUGGACGUACCGCUGGUGUACCUGUUGUCUCGCCAGAGGCAUCGCAGGGUAGCUAUGUACGGAAGAGAUAACCGCUGAAAGCAUCUAAGCGGGAAACUCGCCUGAAGAUGAGGAUUCCCUGGAGGCUUGACCUCCUUGAAGGGUCGUUCGAGACCAGGACGUUGAUAGGCUGGGUGUGGAAGCGCAGUAAUGCGUUAAGCUAACCAGUACUAAUUGCCCGUAAGGCUUGAUCCU
RNAcentral lists this ribosomal RNA (2877 nucleotides) under Cupriavidus taiwanensis. RNAcentral describes it as "bacterial LSU rRNA". It matches the Rfam family "Bacterial large subunit ribosomal RNA". Lineage: Bacteria; Pseudomonadati; Pseudomonadota; Betaproteobacteria; Burkholderiales; Burkholderiaceae. The record is from RNAcentral. RNAcentral also lists the same sequence under 1 other name.